UCACAUUCAAAUUUAAAACUUUAAAGAAACUCAAGCAUUGUUAUGAGCAAACCACAAGGUAAAGGAAAGUACGACAUCCAUUGACAUCGAUCAAGUGUGGUACAUGUGUCAUGAAAAAAGGAUACAAAAAGGAGACAUGAGCUAAGCAUUAUUACAUAAGCUUUCUACCCCGGAUAGUGCACCAAUAAAAGAAAAAAUAAAUAAAUGAGCAAAAAGAAAGAAAAAGCCUAGAGUGUCACUUCUUGCGAGGUCCCUUUGGAGUCUUCUGAGUCAUGUUCACCAGGGCCAUUCACGUUUACUUGCACAUAUUUGCACCGAGCAAAAAGAAAGGAAAAGAACAUUGCAAUGUACAUGCACGUAUUUACACCACCAUGGACGUCCACGUUUGCUUCCAUAGGUACGAGCAAAGGUGGGUAAUCGGUGCAGAGUUGAGCAGGUUGAGAAGACAAUUGCACAUUGCAAUGAGCUUCGACAUACACCCUCCAAGCUAUCCAACUUUCAUAUAUUCCAGGGACUUUUCCAACAAAAAGAACAUAAUAGAACCUUUUUCCAGCCAUUCCUAGAUAAAAAAGAAGAAGCAAUGUCAACAAAGAAUUGAAACAUGAUCAGAACAUUCUUAUAAAGAUACGGGAAAGAGGCAUUAUAGCCAGGGUCCUAUUCACUAUUUUAUGUCAUUUGUACCUGAUCUAAUAAGAAGUGUCUAUAAUAUGCUUCUUGGAAUUAUGACACUGGACUAAAGUUAUUUUGGUUGAAGUUUAUGAUGUUAUAAUUUUGUGGAAAUCAUAUGAUCUGGUAUAUGUUUGUUGUGAUGGAGGUGCAGCCAUGUUUGCUCCUAUGGUUAAGGUUAAUCCAUAUGAAUUAAGCAGGACUAAGGAAGACAUGUUUGGAACAUGGGAGAUGUGGGUGCGAAGGAGGAAACUGAUUUACAAUUUAGCAAAGAAAAUUUCCUACAUUACUCAGUUACUUCUACAAAGCAAAUACCCAUGAUUUGUUCUGUUUCUAUUUUCAAAAAGAGUUCAUUAGCAGUUCAUUCCGACAAAAGUCAAUGCUUAUUUGAUGAGACUGCAAAUUUUUGCAAUUUCGAACAGGUAAUCAGACACACUAACAAGUAGCAAAUAGGUAAACAGGAAAUCAGACACAAACUUUCACAAUUUCAAACCCUAAUUCAUUAGACCAGUGCACACAAAGUUUCUCAACUUCGAACACUAAUUUUCAUUAGACCAGUACACAUAAAGUUUCUUAACUUCGAACCCUAAUUUACCCAAUCAAACUGAACACAAAAAAUCUGCAAUAUUCCCAAUUUUUGAAACCCUAAUUUUUGGGGGUUUGAAGAUGGAGAAUCUAGGGAAAAUUGAAAAGUUCAAAGAGAGAAAGAAGAGGAGGAGAGACCUUAGCUGUGGAGUGCGUCCCAAUUUGAAUCUAGGACAAAUCCGCAGAUUUUCGUGAUUCUCGCGAGGUGUUGGGGGUGGUUGCCGGAAUUGGAGCCACUGACAUGGUGGUCGGAGGUGGUGAUGAGAGUCGUCGGCGAAGGUGGUGGUGAUGGGGAUCCUCGGCGUAGGUAGGUGGUGGACGUGGUGGUCGCAUUCUGAUUCUCUCUCUCGCUUUCUCUUGGAACCAGAAGAAC
Long non-coding RNA from Rhododendron vialii, 1624 nucleotides. RefSeq lists it as uncharacterized. Lineage: Eukaryota; Viridiplantae; Streptophyta; Magnoliopsida; Ericales; Ericaceae. The record is from RefSeq and is a predicted model, not a curated record. The transcript has 2 exons.